Molecule: ribosomal RNA, 536 nt
Filed under: uncultured bacterium
Lineage: Bacteria
Description: bacterial SSU rRNA
Rfam family: Bacterial small subunit ribosomal RNA
Source: RNAcentral
ACUGAAUAGAUACCCCGGUAGUCCUGGCCGUAAACGAUGGAAACUAGGUGUCCGCGGUAUCGACCCCGCGGGUGCCGGAGCUAAACGCGUGAAAGUUUCCCGCCUGGGGAGUACGGCCGCAAGGUUGAAACUCAAAGGAAUUGACGGGGCCCGCACAAGCGGUGGAGUAUGUGGUUUAAUUCGAUACAACGCGAAGAACCUUACCCAGGCUUGACAUCCCGCGAACCUCGCUGAAAGGCGGGGUGCCCUUCGGGGAGCGCGGAGACAGGUGGUGCAUGGCUGUCGUCAGCUCGUGCCGUGAGAUGUUGGAUUAAGUUCCGCAACGAGCGCAACCCUCGUCGUGUGUUGCCAGCAAUUCGGUUGGGCACUCACACGAGACUGCUGCAGCAAUGUGGAGGAAGGUGGGGAUGACGUCAAGUCAGCAUGCCCCGUACGCCUGGGGCUACACACAUACUACAAUGCACGGGGCAGACGGCGGCUAACCCGCGAGGGGCGCUAAUCCGAGAAGACCGUGCUCAGUGCGGAUCGCAGGCUGC